GGUUCGGUAGCUCAGUUGGAUAGAGCAACAGCCUUCUAAGCUGUGGGUCUUGGGUUCGAAUCCC
RNAcentral lists this transfer RNA (64 nucleotides) under Bacteroidetes bacterium RIFOXYC2_FULL_39_11. Its description in RNAcentral is "tRNA-Arg". It matches the Rfam family "tRNA", at positions 1 to 61 of the family's 71-position model. From Rfam's summary of the family: Transfer RNA (tRNA) molecules are approximately 80 nucleotides in length. Their secondary structure includes four short double-helical elements and three loops (D, anti-codon, and T loops). The record is from RNAcentral. Lineage: Bacteria; Pseudomonadati; Bacteroidota.